This is a long non-coding RNA of Trachemys scripta elegans, 322 nucleotides long. RefSeq lists it as uncharacterized. The record is from RefSeq and is a predicted model, not a curated record. Lineage: Eukaryota; Metazoa; Chordata; Testudines; Emydidae. The transcript has 4 exons.
UGGUGACAAAAAGAAGUAUGCUAAUUUCAGCUCCAUUCCAAACACUACAUGACAUCAAUGCUUGUUAGCGGACAAGGAUAAAACUGGGUUGGUUACAAGCAUUGUCUCUGGCAUGAGAUCUAAGGUACAACUGACCUUGGCUCUACAUCAUUCAGUGAUAUCUUGCAAGAUGAUAAAUAUCCCAAAAGCAGGCCACCCCCUUCCACCUCCCACGGAUUGCUGUCGUCCAUCCCACAGGGGCCUGUAUUCCAGUUCUGCUGAGCAGGAUCCUUCCAGAUGAAAGAGACCUGCCUAGGAGGGGAAAACCCUGUGUCCUAGUGCA